Molecule: ribosomal RNA, 592 nt
Filed under: uncultured bacterium
Lineage: Bacteria
Description: bacterial SSU rRNA
Rfam family: Bacterial small subunit ribosomal RNA
Source: RNAcentral
CCUACGGGAGGCAGCAGUGGGGAAUCUUGCGCAAUGGGCGAAAGCCUGACGCAGCAACGCCGCGUGCGGGAAGAAGGCUUUCGGGCUGUAAACCGCUUUCAGCAGGAACGAAAAUGACGGUACCUGCAGAAGAAGGAGCGGCCAACUAUGUGCCAGCAGCCGCGGUGAUACAUAGGCUUCAAGCGUUGUCCGGAUUUAUUGGGCGUAAAGAGUUCGUAGGCGGUCGAGUAAGUCGGGUGUGAAAAUUCUGGGCUCAACCCAGAGACGCCACCCGAUACUGCUUGACUUGAGUUCGAUAGGGGAGUGGGGAAUUCCUAGUGUAGCGGUGGAAUGCGCAGAUAUUAGGAGGAACACCGGUGGCGAAGGCGCCACUCUGGAUCGAUACUGACGCUGAGGAACGAAAGCAUGGGUAGCAAACAGGAUUAGAUACCCUGGUAGUCCAUGCCGUAAACGGUGGGCACUAGGUGUGGGUUUCUAUUAACGAAAUCCGCGCCGUCGCUAACGCAUUAAGUGCCCGCCUGGGGAGUACGGUGCAAGCUAAAACUAAAUGAAAUUGACGGCUUGAGACGUUGCGAGAGACGACGAGGGAGAG